This 301-nucleotide ribosomal RNA is filed under the name uncultured bacterium. Its description in RNAcentral is "partial 16S ribosomal RNA". It matches the Rfam family "Bacterial small subunit ribosomal RNA", at positions 509 to 807 of the family's 1533-position model. The record is from RNAcentral.
CAGCAGCCGCGGGAAUACGGAGGGGGCUAGCGUUGUUCGGAAUUACUGGGCGUAAAGCGCACGUAGGCGGCUUGGUAAGUUAGAGGUGAAGGCCUGGAGCUCAACUCCAGAAUUGCCUUUAAGACUGCCGAGCUAGCAGGUGAGAGAGGUAAGUGGAAUUCCGAGUGUAGAGGUGAAAUUCGUAGAUAUUCGGAAGAACACCAGUGGCGAAGGCGGCUUACUUGCUCAUACUGGACGCUGAGGUGCGAAAGCGUGGGGAGCAAACAGGAUUAGAUACCCCCGUAGUCCCUGUCUCUUAUAC